This 433-nucleotide ribosomal RNA is filed under the name uncultured bacterium. RNAcentral describes it as "partial 16S ribosomal RNA". It matches the Rfam family "Bacterial small subunit ribosomal RNA", at positions 29 to 507 of the family's 1533-position model. The record is from RNAcentral.
AACGAACGCUGGCGGCAUGCCUAACACAUGCGAGUCGAACGAGACCUUCGGGUCUGGUGGCGCACGGGGGCGUAACGCGUGGGAACAUGCCCUUAGGUUCGGCAUAACUCCCCGAAAGAGGUGCUAAUACCGGAUAAUGUCUUCGGACCAAAGAUUUAUCGCCUUUGGAUGGGCCCGCGUUGGAUUAGCUAGUUGGUAGGGUAAAAGCCUACCACGGCGACGAUCCAUAGCUGGUCUGAGAGGAUGAUCAGCCACACUGGGACUGAGACACGGCCCAGACUCCUACGGGAGGCAGCAGUGGGGAAUAUUGGACAAUGGGCGAAAGCCUGAUCCAGCAAUGCCGCGUGAGUGAUGAAGGCCUUAGGGUUGUAAAGCUCUUUUACCCGGGAUGAUAAUGACAGUACCGGGAGAAUAAGCUCCGGCUAACUCCGUG